GACCUCGGAUCAGGUAGGGAUACCCGCUGAACUUAAGCAUAUCAAUAAGCGGAGGA
RNAcentral lists this ribosomal RNA (56 nucleotides) under Aspergillus flavus. RNAcentral's name for it is "partial 28S ribosomal RNA". Lineage: Eukaryota; Fungi; Ascomycota; Eurotiomycetes; Eurotiales; Aspergillaceae. The record is from RNAcentral. RNAcentral also lists the same sequence under 42 other names.